RNAcentral lists this transfer RNA (70 nucleotides) under Dipodomys ordii (Ord's kangaroo rat). It matches the Rfam family "tRNA". Rfam says of the family: Transfer RNA (tRNA) molecules are approximately 80 nucleotides in length. Their secondary structure includes four short double-helical elements and three loops (D, anti-codon, and T loops). The record is from Rfam by way of RNAcentral. Lineage: Eukaryota; Metazoa; Chordata; Mammalia; Rodentia; Heteromyidae.
GGGAAUGUGGCUUAGUGGUAGAGUGCUUGCUUUGCAUUCAUGAAGCCCUGGGUUCCAUCCCCCAUACCUC